Molecule: ribosomal RNA, 394 nt
Filed under: uncultured Anaeromyxobacter sp.
Lineage: Bacteria; Pseudomonadati; Myxococcota; Myxococcia; Myxococcales; Anaeromyxobacteraceae
Description: bacterial SSU rRNA
Rfam family: Bacterial small subunit ribosomal RNA
Source: RNAcentral
CGAGAAAGCCCGCAAGGGUGAGUACAGCGGCGCACGGGUGCGUAACACGUGGGUAAUCUACCCUGAAGUCCGGAAUAACUCCCCGAAAGGGGUGCUAAUGCCGGAUGAGACCACGGGGGCUUCGGCCUCCGCGGGAAAAGGUGGCCUCUGUAUACAAGCUAUCACUUCAGGAUGAGCCCGCGGCCCAUCAGCUCGUUGGCGGGGUAAUGGCCCACCAAGGCUACGACGGGUAGCUGGUCUGAGAGGACGAUCAGCCACACUGGAACUGAGACACGGUCCAGACUCCUACGGGAGGCAGCAGUGGGGAAUCUUGCGCAAUGGGCGAAAGCCUGACGCAGCAACGCCGCGUGUGUGAUGAAGGUCUUCGGAUCGUAAAGCACUGUCGCGAGGGACG